UGAUUUCACUUUUAUCGCACCUGUCAAGGCAUGCCAAGCAUGAUGGUCGACAUAAGCGCUUACCAAAUCUUUCCAGAGUUUCUAAAUAGCAUACAAAUGAGAAUAAAUCGUUUCGGUCAUGCGUUAAAAGUGGUGAUUGGCAGCUGAUCACAUAUUCUGCAGGUGUGCUUGGUUGCUAAGUAACGCACAGAAUGGUCGGGGGACGAUAAAGGCAGAACUUGAAGCAUUAGAUUAAAGAUACUCUCUCCUAAUUAUAAUUUUUACUAGUAACUCAUCAGCUGAAGCAGGUUUAUAGUGUAGCAGUUCACUGAAUGGUUUGUGAUUUGGUCUGAAAAAAUAUGUUAUUUGGAAAUGGAUCGAUACAAGCGCCAGAUUAGACUCCGUUGUGACCGUGGAUUACCUAUCAAACGAGAUACACCCGUGAAACCAGCGCUCACCAGACGAGACAAGCACAGGAAACUUCUAUUCCGCAAGCAUUAUGAAGCUUUUCCAGAAGAACCUGAGAGGGAAGUCACGAAUGACUCCACUGUCAAACCAAAGAGCCCAGUAUCUGCCAACACUGUACACCCCAAAUCUACUUUUAGCUUAAGCACACCUGCACUUACUGAAACUACCGGACACAAAGCAACCUUACCUGCCGUUCAGGUGACUGUAGUAAAGGCUCAUGAAGGUGAUGAAAUGUCGGGUAAAGAAGACGAGCAAAGCUUGGCAGUGACUCUGGAAAGCUUCACAUUAUCUAGCAUGGAGACUGACACAACUUUCAGCUCUGGUGACACAGAGGAUGAGGACUUUUUGACCUCCGCAACUUCUAACAAUCUUCCCUCUCCAGAGAUCUUCAGAAGAGAAAACCAGGGUGUGUCUGAGUGCAUUUUGGAAACCUUCAAUUUCUCCAUUGGGGAAGACCUGCUGGGUCUCCAUCGUCACAUAAAAAACUCCACUUUGUUGGAUGUCAGCCACGCUGAGAGCAUACACAUGCAUCAUCCCCCUAACCUUUCUACCAUCCUGGAUGCCUCCACUAUUCUUGCUGAAAAGACCUGUGAGAUCAGCAACAACAGAGAAGCCGGAUCUGCUGCUAAAAUACAAAAUGACUCGUUGAAAUCAGACAAAGCCUUGAAGAGGAAAACCCCACCAAGACUCAGCUACAGAAGACCUAUCUUGUGUAAGAAGAAGGUUUCAUUCAAAAGCCCUGUAAUUGCUGAGACCUUUGAUGGAAAAUGCAUCCCAGCUUCAAAGUUAAUGACUCACAGUCUCAACAAGCCAUUGCAAAUGUCCAGCCCACCUGAGGAUUUGAAGCCUGAUGCAGAGAUCGGCUCGGAAGAGGAAACAUUACCUCUGACCAUGUUGCUAAAAAGGUCUGUGAAAACUAGCCAUAGGGAACCCAAGCUCUUUGACUUUGCCACUGACAAGGAGAGAGAUACUCUCUUUCAGGUCAUGAGAGAAAGAUGUGUGAAACUCAGAAGUGUUACUUUAUUUCCCUUCACAGCUGUUUAGUGCACCGAACCAUCUUUCCUGCCACAUUUAAAGCUAGAAUAUCGCAUGCAUAAAACUCCGGCUUUACCCCCUCAUCUGGAUUAGAUUAGUCUAAUUGUAAAAAGUCCUAUAUAAAAAUGGUCUGUUAGUACUUAAAAGAAGGAGAGAAGAAUCGAUGGAACAAACUUUAAAUAACAUUUAAGUACUAAUUAAAGAGACAUGCUAGACUGGCGUUUAGGUUAAUAUGAAAAAAGUGUGAUGUGAAAUGACCACUAGAUGGCACAUAUGCAUUUACCUUGAAAAAACAUUGUCUGUCUUGUCCAUACAGUGAGCUUUUCCACCUUUAAAUAUGAUAUAUAUGUAUAUGUGUGUAUAUAUAUGUUUUUUGCUUGUUGUGCUUGUCUAUAUUUGUAUUUAUUCUCGUAACAUGUGUUACUAUAGACUUUCUAAAUGAAGAAUGAUUUAAAAGCAAAGUUUAAAUGUAUAAGAUAUGUAUUUUAGGUAUACUCCUUCCAUAUUUAUGUAUAUUUGUCUUUGUCCUCAAAAUCUGCAUAUGUAUUUGAUUCAGAAAGUGUCUAAAGCAAAUAAAAAUACAAUAAAAUGCCUGUUGGGGCGAUCACUCGUUCUGUG
This is a long non-coding RNA of Oreochromis aureus, 2100 nucleotides long. The record is from Ensembl. Lineage: Eukaryota; Metazoa; Chordata; Actinopteri; Cichliformes; Cichlidae.